CACGUGGCUCCCAUCUUGAUAGGAGUUCCAGGGAAACCAGGGAGCUUCAGAUGCCCCAUAUCCACUUCCUUUCUUGAUCUGAAAUUCUUUUGAAGUUUUGGAGACUUUCAGUGGAAACCCGAGCUGCCAGCUGCCAAGUGGCCUCUUGAAGAUAACAGCUCAACUCAAAGAGGGCCUGCAACCAUAGGAUUCUAGGUACUGGCUCAAAGGUGCUCAACUCUGGCUACAGGUGGAUCGUCAUUUAACUACCAAUGUACCUUAAAGGACAGUGAAAUGCAGGCUGCAUGGCUCCUGGAAAGAACUUGCUUAUAGGACUCUGAUACAUCUGGAUUGCCUAUUGCUCCUUCCUCCUAGCUCUCUGACCAGGGUCAGGUGGAUUCUUUACCAGCUGAGCCACAAGGGAAGCCCGAGAUCUCAUUUAAAUGGCAGUAAAGAAGAACUGAAAAGAAUAAAUGCAAAUUUGUCAUGGGAAUAAACUCAAAGAUGGAAUUGUCAAGGGGAAUGAUUUUAACAUAUUUCUGGAAGAUGAAAAGUGGAAAAAGAAAGUAUCUGCUUCCAGUAAUUAAGAACUAGGUGGGCAUGUCCUCCCUGUGCUGGGCACUGUGCUAGACUCUGUGGCCACAAAGAUGGAUGAGACAAGAUACUUCCUCUGCAGCUACUCACGGCCUCAUGGAGACAGUCAACCAGGGAAUGGACAGCUACAAAAUGAUGUGACACGAACUCUGAUGAGUCCAAAUUUUCUUUCCAGUUCAUUCCUUUCUUUUUACCGUCAAGGUGAUGAAGGUGUCUUAGUAAGGUGGAAUAAAGAAGCAAAGCUUUAU
This is a long non-coding RNA of Bubalus bubalis (water buffalo), 821 nucleotides long. RefSeq lists it as uncharacterized. NCBI's taxonomy places the organism in Eukaryota, Metazoa, Chordata, Mammalia, Artiodactyla, Bovidae. The record is from RefSeq and is a predicted model, not a curated record. The transcript has 5 exons.